RNAcentral lists this ribosomal RNA (465 nucleotides) under uncultured bacterium. RNAcentral's name for it is "partial 16S ribosomal RNA". It matches the Rfam family "Bacterial small subunit ribosomal RNA", at positions 338 to 795 of the family's 1533-position model. The record is from RNAcentral.
CCUACGGGAGGCAGCAGUAGGGAAUCUUCCACAAUGGGCGAAAGCCUGAUGGAGCAACGCCGCGUGGGUGAAGAAGGUCUUCGGAUCGUAAAACCCUGUCGUUAGAGAAGAAAGUGCGUGAGAGUAACUGUUCACGUUUGGACGGUAACUAACCAGAAAGCGACGGCAAACUACGGGGCAGCAGGCGCGGGAAUACGAAGGUGGCAAGCGUUAUCCGGAUUUAUUGGGUGUAAAGGGAAUGCAGGCGGGCUUUUAAGUCUGAUGUGAAAGCGUUCGGGUUAACCGGAGUAGAGCUUUGGAAACUGGGAGACUUGAGUGCAGGAGAGGAGAGUGGAACUCCAUGUGUAGCGGUGAAAUGCGUAGAUAUAUGGAAGAACACCAGUGGCGAAGGCGGCUCUCUGGUCUGUAACUGACGCUGAGGUUCGAAAGCGUGGGUAGCAAACAGGAUUAGAUACCCCAGUAGUC